This 352-nucleotide long non-coding RNA is filed under the name Setaria viridis. Its description in RNAcentral is "long non-coding RNA (SVIR_LNC010602)". The record is from RNAcentral. Lineage: Eukaryota; Viridiplantae; Streptophyta; Magnoliopsida; Poales; Poaceae.
GAGUGGAGAAGAAAGGAAGGGAGGGAGGAAAAGGGAAGGAAGGAAAGAAAGAAAGGGAGGAAGGGAGGAGGGGAAGGGAGAGGAGAUUGAAGGCCCGCUCGUCGCUUCAUUUGAGUAGUUAGUUUAGUAGACAUGAGACAUAGAAAAAUGUAAGUUAGUUAGUCUAGUGGAUUUUAGACAUAGGAAAGUGUAGCUAAGUUAGAUUAGUGGAUUUAGCUUAGGUAUUUAGUUGACAGUAAAACUAGUUUGUUAAUUUAUGUAGAUUAAUUUUAGAUGAAUAUUAUUUGCAAUGCUAGGGUUAUGUUAUGUAUAGAUAUUCAGGAUGUAGUUGUUUCAGGGGUAGUUAAAAUUA